This 445-nucleotide ribosomal RNA is filed under the name Progomphus borealis. RNAcentral's name for it is "partial 16S ribosomal RNA". It matches the Rfam family "Bacterial large subunit ribosomal RNA", at positions 1926 to 2585 of the family's 2925-position model. The record is from RNAcentral. Lineage: Eukaryota; Metazoa; Arthropoda; Insecta; Odonata; Gomphidae.
AACGGCCGCGGUAUUCUUGACCGUGCAAAGGUAGCAUAAUCAUUAGUCUUUUAAUAGAAGGCUGGUAUGAAAGGUUUGACGAAGAGUUGACUGUCUCAUUUAAUUUUUUAUUAAAAUUUAAUUUUUUAGUUAGAAAGCUAAAAAUUUUGUUGGUAGACGAGAAGACCCUAUAGAGUUUUAUAGUUUAUUUCAUAUAUGUCAUAUAAUUUUGUGUAUGUUUUAUACUAUUUUGUUGGGGUGACAAAAAUAUAUAAUUAACUUUUUUAUUUAAUUAUCAUUGAUUUAUGUAUAUUAGAUCCAAUCUUAUUGAUUAUUAGUACAAAUUACCUUAGGGAUAACAGCGUAAUCUUCCUUAGGAGCUCUCAUUUACAGGAAGGCUUGCGACCUCGAUGUUGGAUUAAGAUAAUAGUUAGGUGCAGUAGCUUAAUUUAUAGGUCUGUUCGAC